UGGCUUUCACUAAUCCAAAAUAAGGGGAAAGAUCAAGGGCAUUCAAUACUUGCAUUUGUAUUGAUACGGAAUAUUUUGUCGUUUAUGAUAUUUUUCCUAUAUAGCGCUGCCAUUAAUUUCUCUUAUAAUAUUAUAAUUCCUAUAAGAAAAAUUUUUUUAUUUGUAAUUAAAAGUUCUUAUAUAUAUAUGAGUCAUUUGUAACAUAAAAAAUAUAGUACAAAAUAAAGUAAAUAUUUUACCUAAAUUUCUACAUGGUAUCAAAGCAACAAAAGGGUAUUUUAAGACUUUUUCAAUUUUAGAGUUUCUUUCAAACUCUAAAAUAUUUUCACCAUUUAACCAAAUGGAGUCCUAGCACCACCAGCAGCCUGCUGCCCUAUUCCAGUGAUCAUCUCCACCCUACCCAAUCCCUCUGCUAAGGUCGUACCCAUCCGUUCACGCUGCUUCCUUGCGCACGGCCUUUGGAUCCCACUGCUCCCUUCUCUGGUUCACGCAACCUGAUCCAACAUGCUGGUUCACGCUGCGCACGGUGUCUUAUUCCGUAGCACACACUUGGCGUCUCUGGUUUGCGCUGCUCCUCUGCGUACGGCAUCCGGCUCCCUCGCACGCAGCACCGAGUCCCUUCACGGACGCACGACCUGACCCUUCUGUUUGCGCCUUGUGCCGCUUCUUCACGCAUCACAGAUUCGGUCUUGCUAGACCCAUCUGCUCUGAUUCGUGCAGGGUCACUCGCGUAAGGUUCCUGCCUUACAGAUUUGUUUUCACGCGGCCGCGCUCUUUUUUUGCAGCUUUUCAAAUCGGAUUCCUACUGUUGUUUGUGCAGAGCUGCACGCCCUUCCUCCUCCUCUGGUUCUUGCAAUCUGCUCUCUCUGGUUGCGCAUCCUCCCAGCAAAUCGUGACCAGACUCGGUUCUAUUUUUUGUUCUCAGAUCCGGCCUUGGCUCUUGUUUCCGGAUUAAAAAUAUUGGUUGUUCCAAAGUUCAGGUAAUCCUUUAUCCACUAUUAGUACUUCAAAAAAUGGUAAAUUCAGGUAUUGCUCCUCUUCUUACUAUUUUCAAUUUUCAUGCUUAGAUUAUAAACUCUGAAACUAACUGACAUAUGAUAAACUAUUUUAAAAACUUCCUAACUUUAUUUUCAUGUAUUCAACAUGAGAAUAUACGUGUCGCAGAUAGAUCAUACACUCCUAUAUCUAGAACAAACUCCAUUAAUGUGCCUAAUUUUCUAACAAUCUCUUAUCUGUUAGUGUCCUUACUAGAGAUUUUAACUGUAAAAUUAAAUUUUUUCCUAACCAUUGUAUUCUUUAAGAUCUUCAAACAGAAAAAACGAUUGACAUUAAUAAACUGCAGGAUGAUUUAUGUCUUGAAUAUAAGUUGAAGCGUGAUUAGUAAUCAAGUUGCCUUCAGAAAUAGUGAUGUCAAUAGUAAAAUCUUAAAAUUGCAUAGACGGUUGGGACGUUCUUCUUUUUUUAUUCUAGAAAAAUUAUAUCCCACAUUAUUUAAAAAUUUUUUUAUAGAUUUCUUAUUUUGUGAUGCAUGUGAGCUACCUAAAUAUAAAUGGAGUUGAUAUAAUGUGAAUAACCAUAGAAAUCUUACUCUUUUUGUGACAAUUCACUCUGAUAUUUGCGGACCCAUUCAAAAUACAUCCUUAUUUGCUUGUAGAUGGUUUGUUACUUUCAUUGACUGAUAUACUAGAUUAACAUUGAUUUAUCUGUUGAAAGCCAAAAGUGAUGUGUUCUCAUACUUUCGAUCAUUUCACAAAAUGAUAUGUAUACAGUUUGAUACUCAAGUUAAGAUUUUAUAAACAGAAACCUGUACAGAAUAUAUGGAUGGUGAAUUCCGUGCCUAUUUGGAGUCUCAUGAGAUAAUUUACAAGACAAGUUGUGCCUACACUAGUGAACAAAAUGGAAUUACUGAAAGAACAAAUAGACACGUAUUGGAGG
Molecule: long non-coding RNA, 1935 nt
Filed under: Carica papaya (papaya)
Lineage: Eukaryota; Viridiplantae; Streptophyta; Magnoliopsida; Brassicales; Caricaceae
Description: long non-coding RNA (CPAP_LNC006102)
Source: RNAcentral